Molecule: unclassified non-coding RNA, 447 nt
Filed under: Hevea brasiliensis (rubber tree)
Lineage: Eukaryota; Viridiplantae; Streptophyta; Magnoliopsida; Malpighiales; Euphorbiaceae
Source: RNAcentral
GCUAAUUGGUUGUGAGAAAUUUAAAGUAUAAUAUGCCUGGAAACAGCUGUGCCUUGUUUAAAAUACCAAAAUUUGAAGUCGCACACAGAGUUGUGAGAUAUCAAGCUCAAUUUCACGAGUAAUUGUAAAAAAAAACUAAAGAGAAUAAAAAUUUUGCUACCCAGAGCGUUUUUAAUUCCCCAAAUCAUGGGAAGAGAGAAAUUUGAAUUUCUUUCCUUCUAGUAAAAUUACAAUCUUAAUUUUAAUUAAAAUCCAAAUUUUGAAAAUCUUAAUUUCUUGUAACAAGUGAUUGGAUAAGUGACAUUCUGUUGAUUUUCGGAUGAAUUUUAGGAGUAAAAUUAGAGGUUUGAAUUUUAUCUACAAAAUUAGGAGUUUGAAUCCUAAAAUCUCUAUUAUUAGGAGGGUUUUACCCAAAUACCACUACCCGAAGGAAACCAUGUGUUUAAG